This 345-nucleotide unclassified non-coding RNA is filed under the name soil metagenome. Its description in RNAcentral is "partial contains 5.8S ribosomal RNA, internal transcribed spacer 2, and large subunit ribosomal RNA". The stretch from base 1 to 119 matches the Rfam family "5.8S ribosomal RNA", at positions 35 to 154 of the family's 154-position model. The record is from RNAcentral.
GAUGAAGAACGCAGCGAAAUGCGAUACGUAAUGUGAAUUGCAAAUUCAGUGAAUCAUCGAGUCUUUGAACGCACAUUGCGCCCCCUGGUAUUCCGGGGGGCAUGCCUGUCCGAGCGUCAUUGCUGCCCUCAAGCACGGCCUGUGUGUUGGGCCCCGUCCUCCGAUCCCGGGGGACGGGCCCGAAAGGCAGCGGCGGCACCGCGUCCGGUCCUCGAGCGUAUGGGGCUUUGUCACCCGCUCUGUAGGCCCGGCCGGCGCUUGCCGAUCAACCCAAAUUUUUUAUCCAGGUUGACCUCGGAUCAGGUAGGGAUACCCGCUGAACUUAAGCAUAUCAAUAAGCGAGGA